GUGGAGAGACGAGCUGGAGUGGUGUACUCACAGUAAAAGAGAGUGGCGGUCUCUCUGUACCCCCGGUUUCAGAGCCCUACCAGCUGCCCGGUCCACCCCAGAAGCCCGUCGUAACUGAUGUGACCCGUAACAGCGUGACCCUGACCUGGCAACCAAACGCACAUGAAGGCGGAGCGGCUGUCACCUCUUACAUCAUUGAGGCUUUCAGCGUCGCUGGUCAGCCGUGACAGAUGGGGUAAUACCACCGAGUGGCUGCCCCGUCCCUGACCCCUUUCCCCCGCUCUACUGCUCGUCACAGUCAUGCGAGGGCAACUACAUGCUGUGCUUACAUCUCACAUCCUGCCUGCUACAAGAAUCA
Long non-coding RNA from Sinocyclocheilus anshuiensis, 358 nucleotides. RefSeq lists it as uncharacterized. The record is from RefSeq and is a predicted model, not a curated record. The transcript has 3 exons. NCBI's taxonomy places the organism in Eukaryota, Metazoa, Chordata, Actinopteri, Cypriniformes, Cyprinidae.